CUGCGGUGAAUACGUUCCCGGGCCUUGUACACACCGCCCGUCAAGCCAUGGAAGUUGGGGGUACCUGAAGUACGUAACCGCAAGGAGCGUCCUAGGGUAAAACCGGUAACUGGGGCU
This 117-nucleotide ribosomal RNA is filed under the name uncultured bacterium. Its description in RNAcentral is "partial 16S ribosomal RNA". It matches the Rfam family "Bacterial small subunit ribosomal RNA", at positions 1357 to 1482 of the family's 1533-position model. The record is from RNAcentral.